GGGGCCGUGGUCUAGCUUGGCGGGACGGCGGGCUCCAGACCCGUAGGUCGCAGGUUCAAAUCCUGCCGGCCGUU
This 74-nucleotide transfer RNA is filed under the name Thermococcus sp. Its description in RNAcentral is "tRNA-Trp". It matches the Rfam family "tRNA". Rfam says of the family: Transfer RNA (tRNA) molecules are approximately 80 nucleotides in length. Their secondary structure includes four short double-helical elements and three loops (D, anti-codon, and T loops). The record is from RNAcentral. Lineage: Archaea; Methanobacteriati; Methanobacteriota; Thermococci; Thermococcales; Thermococcaceae.